GAUGAACGCUGGCGGCGUGCCUAAUACAUGCCAGUCGAGCGAACGGACGAGAAGCUUGCUUCUCUGAUGUUAGCGGCGGACGGGUGAGUAACACGUGGAUAACCUACCUAUAAGACUGGGAUAACUUCGGGAAACCGGAGCUAAUACCGGAUAAUAUUUUGAACCGCAUGGUUCAAAAGUGAAAGACGGUCUUGCUGUCACUUAUAGAUGGAUCCGCGCUGCAUUAGCUAGUUGGUAAGGUAACGGCUUACCAAGGCAACGAUGCAUAGCCGACCUGAGAGGAGGAUCGGCACCCGGGGAGCGAGGAAGCGGGCCAACACCUGCGGGGAGGAACGGGCGGGAAUCCUUCCGGAGGGGGCAAAGGCCGACAGGGCAAACGCGGGGGGAGGGGGAAGGGGCUUCGGUGCGUAAAACCCUUUGUUGGGGGAAAAAAAAAUUGCGAAUGAACGGGAAGAAUCUGACGGGACCCAAAAAGGAAGCCCCGGCUAACUACGUG
RNAcentral lists this ribosomal RNA (496 nucleotides) under uncultured bacterium. Its description in RNAcentral is "partial 16S ribosomal RNA". It matches the Rfam family "Bacterial small subunit ribosomal RNA", at positions 28 to 507 of the family's 1533-position model. The record is from RNAcentral.